Molecule: long non-coding RNA, 466 nt
Filed under: Junco hyemalis (dark-eyed junco)
Lineage: Eukaryota; Metazoa; Chordata; Aves; Passeriformes; Passerellidae
Description: lncRNA (ENSJHYG00000011575.1)
Source: RNAcentral
UGGCCCUGCUGCAGGGACUUGGCCCAGGCAAAAGCAAUAGGGGAAAAUUUCACCUCUUUCUUCAAAAUUCCUUCAUUUCACCUCAUUCACAUGUUGGGAGUUGUGCAAGAGUGAGGGACCCAGCUGUGUGUGUGGCACCUGGACUGGAGCACUGCUGGGUGUCACUGUCACUGGGGUGGGUGUGUGGCACUGGUGGCUCCCUCUGGGGACGGCAGAGCUGAGGGGAGCACCUUCACCCCUGAGCAGGGACCCUGAGCCUCCCUGGCAGCCCUGGAGUUAUGUCCUUGUGUCCCUUGGUGGCUGCGGUGUCCCUGUGUCCCUUGGUGCUGCUGUGUCCCUGGCUGUGCCAGUCUGGGGGCAGGGGGGCAGAGGAGCUGUUAGGCUCUGGUUUCUGUCAGAGCCAGGUCCUGCCCACUGCUUUGUGUCCCUGCUGGGCUCAGGGUUUGGGGACAGCUCUGUGUCCCCU